RNAcentral lists this long non-coding RNA (1197 nucleotides) under Sinocyclocheilus anshuiensis. RNAcentral describes it as "lncRNA (ENSSANG00000042589.1)". The record is from RNAcentral. Lineage: Eukaryota; Metazoa; Chordata; Actinopteri; Cypriniformes; Cyprinidae.
UUGUUAACUAUUUGCAAAUUGGUGGCUACAGUCUCUCUCUCUUUUUUCUUUCUAUGAUCUGCUUAUGCCCCAUUGAUGGUUAAGUUUAGGGGUAGAACUUAAUGUUUAGGCAUACUUUUUUUCCUUAAAGAUUGUAUGUUUCUGUACAAAUUGCAUCGUACAAAAUUGUUUGACAGUUGUAAAGAAACUGAAGUAGUGACUGAUCUUUUCUUUCUUAUUGUGAUGUAUUCUUUCAGAUUAUCCGAAAAAAAAAAGUAGGAUGAGGACUUGGUUCAAUUCAUAAUUUGUUAAUUGGAUUUUGGGCAUUGCAAAAGUGGAGGCAGGUGAGCAGGGGCGGGGUUUAAGCAGACAAAAUGAUUAGAGAAGUCCUGCAUAUGCCAUCAGAGAGACAUCUGUCGUUUUCACCAGAAAGUCCAGUUAUGAUACUUUCAUGUCAAAAAAAGAAAUAAACAUGAUGAAUUACAAUAAUAGCUCACAAGAAUUAUAGCAUGCAUUUUGAAGGCGGGAAGGCGUACACUUUUCCCUGUGUGCCCGCGGACAGCGAUGAUGGGACAGUUGUGCUGGAUGUAUAGUCAGUGACAGGAUGGAUAUCAGCGGGAUCCUCUCUAUUGCUGCUGUCCUUCGUUUCUCUAUCGGUGUCUACGGCGAGGCAGGACAAAGCGCUGUGUACCAGAAUACACUGCAGAGCUCAGCCUGGACAGGUUUGUGCGCUGACAUCCUUAGGGCAGGAUGCUGAAAUAUACUCAACCUUCCCACAGAAUCGUCAACCUACUCCCAGUUCAUGCUGGGGCAGUGUGAGAUUCCUCUAUGAUUGCCUCAUCUGUAGACUUAUUUUACUCAGACCAGCAGUCUAUGCUGUUAAACCUCUUAUAUUUAGUCUCUUGUGGUACCACCAGGAGUCUUGUUGGUGGUCUUUAUCGUGCUCUAUAACCGUAACACCAUGGAAAAUAUGACUGGAACUCUACCCUGAUGCUAUUUCAGCAAAUAGCUUUACUGUAUGUCCAGACCGACAUACAGCGUGGAACCUGAGCUCUCACGAGACGAGACAUGAGUGUGUACAAGAAAAGAUUCAGGACUGUUGAACUAUUCACCUACCAGUGUACAAGAAUGGAAACUAUUUAUAAUGUCUAAACAUAUUUUAUUAUAAAAUGUAAUGGUGUACAGAAGACCAAUCAUGCUAAAGCCAUUAAAAGAAAC